RNAcentral lists this unclassified non-coding RNA (163 nucleotides) under soil metagenome. RNAcentral's name for it is "partial internal transcribed spacer 1". The record is from RNAcentral.
AAGAGACGUUGCCCUUCGGGGUAUACCUCCCACCCUUUGUUUAUUAUACCUUUGUUGCUUUGGCGGGCCCGUCCUCGGACCACCGGCUUCUGCUGGUCAGUGCCCGCCAGAGGACCUAAAACUCUGUUUGUUAAUAUAUGUCUGUAGUACUAUAUAAUAGUUA